RNAcentral lists this non-coding RNA (193 nucleotides) under Erysipelotrichaceae bacterium. RNAcentral's name for it is "T-box sequence". It matches the Rfam family "T-box leader". Rfam says of the family: Uncharged tRNA acts as the effector for transcription antitermination of genes in the T-box leader family. The record is from RNAcentral. Lineage: Bacteria; Bacillati; Bacillota; Erysipelotrichia; Erysipelotrichales; Erysipelotrichaceae.
GAACACGCUAUGAAAAGACAGAGUAAACAGAAACGGGUCUUUAGAGAGAGGCUGGGUGCUGAAAAGCCUUGAUACCAUCUGUUGAAUACACCUUGGAGCAUCGAUUCGACGUAUGCCUGCGUUAAAGGUUUGAGGGUCCAUAGGAACGAUCUAUGGAAAAAAAGGUGGUACCGCGUUGACUGACGUCCUUUUA